This 146-nucleotide non-coding RNA is filed under the name uncultured Agathobacter sp. Lineage: Bacteria; Bacillati; Bacillota; Clostridia; Lachnospirales; Lachnospiraceae. The record is from RNAcentral.
AUAGAGGAUGUUAGAAUUUUGUCUGUACACAGCAAUCUCCAUACAGGGAUGUAUGGAGAAGGGCGAGAUGAGCCCGGAAGGCGAAUGGAGCCCGGUUGCGUCACUCUUAGAAAAAUUACAUCAAAAUUCCUACAGCCUCUUAGCGA